CCUACGGGAGGCAGCAGUGAGGAAUAUUGGACAAUGGGCGCAAGCCUGAUCCAGCCAUGCCGCGUGCAGGAAGACGGUCCUAUGGAUUGUAAACUGCUUUUGUACAGGAAGAAACACUCCCUCGUGAGGGAGCUUGACGGUACUGUAAGAAUAAGGAUCGGCUAACUCCGUGCCAGCAGCCGCGGUAAUACGGAGGAUCCAAGCGUUAUCCGGAAUCAUUGGGUUUAAAGGGUCCGUAGGCGGUUUAAUAAGUCAGUGGUGAAAUCUGGUCGCUCAACGAUCAAACGGCCAUUGAUACUGUUAGACUUGAAUUAUUAGGAAGUAACUAGAAUAUGUAGUGUAGCGGUGAAAUGCUUAGAUAUUACAUGGAAUACCAAUUGCGAAGGCAGGUUACUACUAAUGGAUUGACGCUGAUGGACGAAAGCGUGGGGAGCGAACAGGAUUAGAUACCCUGGUAGUCCACGCCGUAAACG
This 473-nucleotide ribosomal RNA is filed under the name uncultured bacterium. RNAcentral describes it as "bacterial SSU rRNA". It matches the Rfam family "Bacterial small subunit ribosomal RNA", at positions 338 to 808 of the family's 1533-position model. The record is from RNAcentral.